This 253-nucleotide ribosomal RNA is filed under the name uncultured bacterium. RNAcentral describes it as "partial 16S ribosomal RNA". It matches the Rfam family "Bacterial small subunit ribosomal RNA", at positions 524 to 776 of the family's 1533-position model. The record is from RNAcentral.
UACGGAGGUGGCAAGCGUUGCUCGGAAUCACUGGGCGUAAAGGGCGCGUAGGCGGGGAGGUAAGUCGGGUGUGAAAUCCCUCGGCCCAACUGAGGAACUGCGCCCGAGACUGCUUCUCUUGAGUCCCGGAGAGGAAGAUGGAAUUCCCGGUGUAGCGGUGAAAUGCGUAGAGAUCGGGAGGAACACCGGUGGCGAAGGCGGUCUUCUGGACGGUGACUGACGCUGAGGCGCGAAAGCGUGGGGAGCAAACGGG